Long non-coding RNA from Silurus meridionalis, 178 nucleotides. RefSeq lists it as uncharacterized. The transcript has 4 exons. NCBI's taxonomy places the organism in Eukaryota, Metazoa, Chordata, Actinopteri, Siluriformes, Siluridae. The record is from RefSeq and is a predicted model, not a curated record.
CCUGAUAACGUGGAUGAGGAUGAAGCUGAGAAUUAUGAUGACGCCAUUACAGCUGAUCAGAAGUCAGUUCUACUGACAGAGGACGUGUGUGAGAACUAUGAUGAUGCAGUUACUGCUGAAACAAACCCAAACAUCAUCACAGAAGAUGAAGAUGAAGAUGAAGAUGAUGAUGAUGUCA